Molecule: microRNA, 23 nt
Filed under: Homo sapiens (human)
Lineage: Eukaryota; Metazoa; Chordata; Mammalia; Primates; Hominidae
Description: hsa-miR-4793-3p
Source: miRBase by way of RNAcentral
UCUGCACUGUGAGUUGGCUGGCU